This 72-nucleotide transfer RNA is filed under the name Epiplatys guineensis. RNAcentral describes it as "tRNA-Val". It matches the Rfam family "tRNA". From Rfam's summary of the family: Transfer RNA (tRNA) molecules are approximately 80 nucleotides in length. Their secondary structure includes four short double-helical elements and three loops (D, anti-codon, and T loops). Further hydrogen bonds mediate the characteristic L-shaped molecular structure. tRNAs have two regions of fundamental functional importance: the anti-codon, which is responsible for specific mRNA codon recognition, and the 3' end, to which the tRNAs corresponding amino acid is attached (by aminoacyl-tRNA synthetases). tRNAs cope with the degeneracy of the genetic code in two manners: having more than one tRNA (with a specific anti-codon) for a particular amino acid; and 'wobble' base-pairing, i.e. permitting non-standard base-pairing at the 3rd anti-codon position. Lineage: Eukaryota; Metazoa; Chordata; Actinopteri; Cyprinodontiformes; Nothobranchiidae. The record is from RNAcentral.
CAGAAUGUAGCUAAAGAUUUAAAGCACCUCCCUUACACCGAGAAGACAUCCGUGAAAAUCGGGUCGUUCUGA